AGACAAAACUAUUUUAAUUACUCCGGUGUC
RNAcentral lists this non-coding RNA (30 nucleotides) under Mus musculus (house mouse). The record is from RNAcentral. Lineage: Eukaryota; Metazoa; Chordata; Mammalia; Rodentia; Muridae.